RNAcentral lists this ribosomal RNA (497 nucleotides) under uncultured bacterium. Its description in RNAcentral is "partial 16S ribosomal RNA". It matches the Rfam family "Bacterial small subunit ribosomal RNA", at positions 28 to 507 of the family's 1533-position model. The record is from RNAcentral.
GAUGAACGCUGGCGGCGUGCCUAAUACAUGCAAGUCGAGCGAACAGAUGAGGAGCUUGCUCCUCUGACGUUAGCGGCGGACGGGUGAGUAACACGUGGAUAACCUACCUAUAAGACUGGGAUAACUUCGGGAAACCGGAGCUAAUACCGGAUAAUAUAUUGAACCGCAUGGUUCAAUAGUGAAAGACGGUUUUGCUGUCACUUAUAGAUGGAUCCGCGCCGCAUUAGCUAGUUGGUAAGGUAACGGCUUACCAAGGCAACGAUGCGUAGCCGACCUGAGAGGGUGAUCGGCCACACUGGAACUGAGCCACGGUCCAGACUCCUACGGGAGGCAGCAGUAGGGAAUCUUCCGCAAUGGGCGAAAGCCUGACGGAGCAACGCCGCGUGAGUGAUGAAGGUCUUCGGAUCGUAAAACUCUGUUAUUAGGUAAGAACAAAUGUGUAAGUAACUAUGCACGUCUUGACGGUACCUAAUCAGAAAGCCACGGCUAACUACGUG